AGAGUUUGAUCCUGGCUCAGGAUGAACGCUGGCGGCGUGCCUAAUACAUGCAAGUCGAGCGAACAGAUGAGGAGCUUGCUCCUUUGACGUUAGCGGCGGACGGGUGAGUAACACGUGGGUAACCUACCUAUAAGACUGGGAUAACUUCGGGAAACCGGAGCUAAUACCGGAUAAUAUUUCGAACCGCAUGGUUCGAUAGUGAAAGAUGGCUCUGCUAUCACUUAUAGAUGGACCUGCGCCGUAUUAGCUAGUUGGUAAGGUAACGGCUUACCAAGGCAACGAUACGUAGCCGACCUGAGAGGGUGAUCGGCCACACUGGAACUGAGACACGGUCCAGACUCCUACGGGAGGCAGCAGUAGGGAAUCUUCCGCAAUGGGCGGAAGCCUGACGGAGCAACGCCGCGUGAGUGAUGAAGGUCUUCGGAUCGUAAAACUCUGUUAUUAGGGAAGGACAAACGUGUAAGUAACUGUGCACGUCUUGACGGUACCUAAUCAGAAAACCACGGCUAACUACGUGCCAGCAGCCGCGGUAAUACGUAGGUGGCAAGCGUUAUCCGGAAUUAUUGGGCGUAAAGCGCGCGUAGGCGGUUUUUUAAGUCUGAUGUGAAAGCCCACGGCUCAACCGUGGAGGGUCAUUGGAAACUGGAAAACUUGAGUGCAGAAGAGGAAAGUGGAAUUCCAUGUGUAGCGGUGAAAUGCGCAGAGAUAUGGAGGAACACCAGUGGCGAAGGCGACUUUCUGGUCUGUAACUGACGCUGAUGUGCGAAAGCGUGGGGAUCAAACAGGAUUAGAUACCCUGGUAGUCCACGCCGUAAACGAUGAGUGCUAAGUGUUAGGGGGUUUCCGCCCCUUAGUGCUGCAGCUAACGCAUUAAGCACUCCGCCUGGGGAGUACGACCGCAAGGUUGAAACUCAAAGGAAUUGACGG
RNAcentral lists this ribosomal RNA (927 nucleotides) under uncultured bacterium. RNAcentral describes it as "bacterial SSU rRNA". It matches the Rfam family "Bacterial small subunit ribosomal RNA", at positions 8 to 916 of the family's 1533-position model. The record is from RNAcentral.